AAAUUCUGCAAAUUAUCCACACAGUAUUAGACAAAAUGUAAGUGUUCACCAACUACAAGUUGAAAGGAGGAAUGAACAAAAUGAUGGUGAGCUAAACUUUUUCUUUUUUUAGACGGAGUUUCGCUCUUGUUGCCCAGGCUGGAGUGCAAUGGCACGAUCUCAGCUCACCACAACCUCUGCCUCCUGGGUUCAAGCAAUUCUCCUGCCUCAGCCUCCUGAGUAGCUGGGAUUACAGGCAUGUGCCACCACGCCCGGCUAAUAUUGUAUUUUUAGUAAGGACGAGGUUUCUCCACGUUGGUCAGGCUGGCCUCGAACUCCCGACCUCAGGUGAUCCGCCUGCCUCAGCCUCCCAAAGUACUGGGAUUACAGGUGUGAGCCACUGUGCCUGGCUGGUGCACUGAACCUUUAAGAACAGGUAAGAUUUAGAGAAAUUGAGGGGAGGUGGGGAGGGGAGAGAAGGAAAAGUGCCUUUCAACAAGGUGAAUGGUAAUCAGGCAGAAAACUGAUGGGAAAAUGGGAAGGUAUGAGUAGACUAUUCAAUAUGACCAAGCAGCAAAAUGAGAAACUUGGGGAAGACAUGGAAUGCCUGACUAUGGGGCUUAGGACUUUGUUUUCUAAAUGAGGACAGUUCUAAAUGAGGAAGAAUAAAUAACUUCCAUUUAUUCAUUUAUUUUAAUUUUGAGACAGGGUCUCUGAUAUGCUCUGGUUGUGUCCCCACCCAAAUCUGAUCUUGAAUUGUAAUCCCCAUAAUCUCCACGUGUCUAGGAAGAGACCUGGUAGGAGGUGGUUGGAUCAUGGGGUUGGAUUCCCCCACGCUGUUCUCAUGAUUUUGAGUGAAUUCUCAUGAGAUCUGAUGGUUUUAUAAGGGACUGUUCUGCCUUCACUCCUCACACUUCUCUCUCUCCUGUUGCCAUGUGAAGAAGGUCUUUGCUUCCCCUUCGCCUUCCGCCAUGACUGUAAGUUUCCUGAGGCCUCCCCAUGUGGAACUGUGAGUCAAUUAAACCUCUUUCCUUUAUAAAUCAGCCAGUCUUGGGUAUUUCUUUAUAGCACUGUGAGAACGGACUAACACAGUCUCACUACUUUUCCCAGGCUGGUCACGAACUCCUGAACUGAAGCCACCCUACCACCUCAGUCUCCUGAGAUAGCUGGGACUACAGGAACUGUGGCUGGCUAAGCCUUUAUUUUUAAUGCAGAGGAACCCUUUAUUUAAAUUAAACCCUAUGUGAAAUCCCAAUAUAUAAAACAGUUUUGUAAAAGCAAAGCAGUACCCAUUGAAGCACCCUGGUUUCCACCCACUGGGUCCCCAUAUUACCCAACUUGAGAAGACCCUGAAACUCCUUCUCGGUUUAAAAACCACUGGAUUAGAAAAAGAUCUGCAAGGCUAAUAACAAAGUGCUCAAAGCAUUUACCUCUAAGGAACUGGGUAUGCCUAGAUUGAGGUGGCUGGGGGAGGGGUAAGCAGUAAUAGAAAGCAAGAUUGAAAUAUCAUUUUCACUUUUUUUGAUUCUACAUAUUUUUAUAUUAUUUGAACUUUUGUUUGAGUACUUUUUACUUUUUAAUUUAAAAAGUAAUUAACAGGAAGAAACUAUUGCUCUAAAAAAGUAUUUUUAAUGGUUAAACUUUUUCAAAUGGAUUCCCAUAUUUUAGUAAAUAAUUUCCCUAUAGCAGGACAUUAUUUGGCUAAAUUACAUUGCAAUGAAAAUGAAUAUCUCUGUGCCUAAUACUUUCCCAUAUUUAGAGUUAUUUCCUUAGGAUAAACUUAUACAAGUUAACAGUUUCCAUUUAGUUCUACAAUGUACUACUUAAAUUAAGACUCUGUGGAAUAUAAAAAGAUAAAAUUCUCUGAGUGCUUUUUAAAAGCCAUCUCAUAUUAGCAAAAUUUGAUUUUGGCAUUCCAGUUUAAGAUACAUAAACCCUAACUUAAAAACUAACGAGCAAAAUUUUUCACAAAUCAAAAAUUUAGUAAGAUAAAUUUGAAUCAGAACUGAAAUCUCCUUACCUUUUAUGAACUGUUCGUAACUUCUUUUACCACUGAUCGGAACCAAACACUGAAAGAAUUUUUCCUUUAUGGUUGGGUUUCACAAUUUAAUUCUGUGAAGUCAUAAUACUGUGACAGUAGAAUCAUGCUCUGGCAACAAACUGACAUCAUUAAAUUCUUAUUUGUAAAUUCUUUAGGGUAUAUGGAUGUUCUAUUUUCAUUUGUAAGAACAAAAUCUAUUUUCUGUUGAUUCUUCAUUAAGCUCAUAUGAUUGAUAUAUUUUCAUCCAUUUAGGUUGGUGCAAAAGUAAUUGCAGUUUUUGUCAUUACUUUUAAUUGCAAAAACUGCACUUACUUUUGCACCAACCUAAUAAUUUAUUCCUUUUGUCCUUAGCCAUUUUUCUAACA
RNAcentral lists this long non-coding RNA (2385 nucleotides) under Homo sapiens (human). RNAcentral describes it as "HSALNT0194299". Lineage: Eukaryota; Metazoa; Chordata; Mammalia; Primates; Hominidae. The record is from RNAcentral.